GAUGAACGCUAGCGGCAGGCCUAAUACAUGCAAGUCGGACGGGAUUGGGGAGCUUGCCUUCCAUGAGAGUGGCGCACGGGUGCGUAACACGUAUGUAACCUACCUUGUUCAGGGGGAUAGCCUCUCGAAAGAGAGAUUAAGACCGCAUAACAUUGCGAUGUGGCAUCACAUUGUAAUCAAAUAUUUAUAGGAACAAGAUGGGCAUGCGGAACAUUAGCUAGUUGGUAAGGUAACGGCUUACCAAGGCUACGAUGUUUAGGGGAUCUGAGAGGAUGACCCCCCACACUGGUACUGAGACACGGACCAGACUCCUACGGGAGGCAGCAGUAAGGAAUAUUGGUCAAUGGGCGGAAGCCUGAACCAGCCAUGCCGCGUGCAGGAAGACGGCCCUAUGGGUUGUAAACUGCUUUUGCAGGGGAAUAAACCUUGGUACGUGUACCAAGCUGAAUGUACUCUGAGAAUAAGGAUCGGCUAACUCCGUGCCAGCAGCCGCCGUAA
This 498-nucleotide ribosomal RNA is filed under the name uncultured bacterium. Its description in RNAcentral is "partial 16S ribosomal RNA". It matches the Rfam family "Bacterial small subunit ribosomal RNA", at positions 28 to 523 of the family's 1533-position model. The record is from RNAcentral.